RNAcentral lists this ribosomal RNA (442 nucleotides) under uncultured bacterium. RNAcentral's name for it is "bacterial SSU rRNA". It matches the Rfam family "Bacterial small subunit ribosomal RNA", at positions 958 to 1382 of the family's 1533-position model. The record is from RNAcentral.
AACGCGAAGAACCUUACCAGGUCUUGACAUCCCAAUGAAAACAUUAGAGAUAGUGUCCCUCUUCGGAGCAUUGGAGACAGGUGGUGCAUGGUUGUCGUCAGCUCGUGUCGUGAGAUGUUGGGUUAAGUCCCGCAACGAGCGCAACCCUUGAUCUUAGUUGCCAGCACGUUAAGGUGGGCACUCUAGGAUGACUGCCGGUGACAAACCGGAGGAAGGUGGGGAUGACGUCAAAUCAUCAUGCCCCUUAUGACCUGGGCUACACACGUACUACAAUGGCCGAUACAACGGGAAGCGAAACCGCGAGGUGGAGCCAAUCCUAUCAAAGUCGGUCUCAGUUCGGAUUGCAGGCUGCAACUCGCCUGCAUGAAGUCGGAAUUGCUAGUAAUCGCGGAUCAGCAUGCCGCGGUGAAUACGUUCCCGGGCCUUAAGUCACACCGAUAGC